GUGGGGAAUCUUAGACAAUGGGGGCAACCCUGAUCUAGCCAUGCCGCGUGAGUGAUGAAGGCCUUAGGGUCGUAAAGCUCUUUCGCUGGGGAAGAUAAUGACGGUACCCAGUAAAGAAACCCCGGCUAACUCCGUGCCAGCAGCCGCGGUAAUACGGAGGGGGUUAGCGUUGUUCGGAAUUACUGGGCGUAAAGCGCGCGUAGGCGGAUUGGAAAGUUGGGGGUGAAAUCCCGGGGCUCAACCCUGGAAUGGCCUUCAAAACUCCCAGUCUUGAGGUCGAGAGAGGUGAGUGGGAUUCCGAGUGUAGAGGUGAAAUUCGUAGAUAUUCGGAGGAACACCAGUGGCGAAGGCGGCUCACUGGCUCGAUACUGACGCUGAGGUGCGAAAGCGUGGGGAGCAAACAGGAUUAGAUCCCCGGGUAGUCC
RNAcentral lists this ribosomal RNA (425 nucleotides) under uncultured bacterium. Its description in RNAcentral is "partial 16S ribosomal RNA". It matches the Rfam family "Bacterial small subunit ribosomal RNA", at positions 354 to 796 of the family's 1533-position model. The record is from RNAcentral.